Molecule: ribosomal RNA, 253 nt
Filed under: uncultured bacterium
Lineage: Bacteria
Description: partial 16S ribosomal RNA
Rfam family: Bacterial small subunit ribosomal RNA
Source: RNAcentral
CACGUAGGGGGCGAGCGUUGUCCGGAUUUAUUGGGCGUAAAGAGCGUGUAGGCGGCCUGGAAGGUCAGCUGUGAAAACUCGAGGCUCAACCUCGAGACGUCGGUUGAAACCACUUGGCUAGAGUCCGGAAGAGGAGUGUGGAAUUCCCGGUGUAGCGGUGAAAUGCGCAGAUAUCGGGAAGAACACCCGUGGCGAAGGCGGCACUCUGGGACGGUACUGACGCUGAGACGCGAAAGCGUGGGGAGCGAACAGG